Molecule: non-coding RNA, 314 nt
Organism: Parasteatoda tepidariorum (common house spider)
Lineage: Eukaryota; Metazoa; Arthropoda; Arachnida; Araneae; Theridiidae
Source: RefSeq, a predicted model, not a curated record
CUAAAGCGGUAACAUACUCUAGACUCCAUGAGUAAACCAUCCAAAGUGCAAAUUUUACGCAACCUGUUUCAUCAAGCUAAAAGCCGUAAAAUUAUUUUUCUUCUUCAUCUUGAAUUAUUAGGAAAUUUUUAUGUCAGUUAUUUGUUAAUAAAGCACAAUUUUUUAUCCACGAAUAUCUUUAUACAAGUAGAAACUCUUGUCAUGGAGCAAAGCAACAGGCGUCUAGAAGUCCUACCGUGUACUGAGGAUGAUGAUACAUGCCGAACGUUUAUUUUAAAAGAUGAAGAUCAUACAUUGGGAAAUGCUCUUCGCUA